Non-coding RNA from Pelobates cultripes (western spadefoot toad), 282 nucleotides. NCBI's taxonomy places the organism in Eukaryota, Metazoa, Chordata, Amphibia, Anura, Pelobatidae. The record is from the annotation of a GenBank genome assembly.
CACAGACUAUACAAGUUCACAAAGCACUUCCUCUGCUGCCCCCUUUGCGAGUUUCCUUCUCUUUAAUGUGGGAAAGUUAUAAGCAGGUCCUGUCGUUGUAGUCAUUCUUGUUGGCAAAGCCUGUUUCCAGAACUAAGUUAAGAAUGUGUAGCAUAUGGGAAGUACAUAUAUUGGCAUUUCUUUUAAAUCUCAUUCUAUCUUUAAUGGGUUACUGCAACCCUUUUUAACUCCUUCCCUUUUUUUAAUGGGUAAUGCCCUGUUAAUAAUGCCAUUAUUCUUUAG